UGUAACUAUAGUAGCAAUUGGAAAGGUGUGUUGAAAUAUGGCUGGAAUUGAGCCUUGUAGGCAUGGAUAUUUGUAAAAAAAUGCGACAUAAAGAGGGUUAAUUGGAUGAGCAGGUACAUAGCUUUGAGCUGUAAUAUCGCAAGUGGCCGCUGAAUGUCGCUGUUCCGCUGCACGGCGACUUGUAAAAAUGGGGAAUUUUCACUCGUGAGCGAGCAUUAGUCACAAAGUUAUGGUGACAGUGAACAUCAGAUUGGCCGUUUUUCUAAUUGAUAUACACACGGUCAAACUAUUAAUGUGUAACCUGUUAGACUUGACCCAGACACUUUAUCAACGCCGUCUCAACCGAGAAGAAAUGGAUGUUUACCAGGGGCGGUGUUUUUGGACCUCAGGAAAGCAUUUGAUACGGAAGCGGUGAUCCAAGAGUCUCUGGGAGGAAUAUGGCAGCCACGCCACUAAUGAUGGGAGCUCCUCCAUAUAUCAAACCAGGCAACCAAGGAGGAACAGGUCACUGAGCUGGGAGCGUGCGUCAAUAAAUUGGCGGCACGACAAGCAGCACGUACAGCGGCUGUCGAGGAGAGGCUUGCCACUUUCGUCUCCUCCCUUCAGAACAACUCAAGCCCAGAACGUUUUUCCAGAGACACAGGUGAUGUCUGUCCUUUCCUUAUUCAAUGCCAACUAAAUUUUUAACUGCAGCCAACUGCCUUUCUUACCGUGCCCAAGCGUGGCUUUUGCCAUAUCACACCUCUCUGGUAAAGUCGCUGAAUUGGCCACAGCAGAGUGGAGCCAACAAUCUUCUUUUUACAGUUCCUUCCUUUCCAAGGUCAAGGAGCACAUUUUUCAGUGGACUCCCCCGGGCCGUGAAGCAGCCCGGUCCUCAGUGUGUUGAAAGAUGCUAUAGACUUCCGUACUCUUGCCGUCAAGAGCGAUUGGAACCCUGCUGCUCUCUUGGAUGCUUUCUGCUUGGGCUUGGAUGACUGCAUUAAAGCAUCACAUUAUUGCUGUUGACCUACCUCUGGGCCUUGUUGACCUCCUCUCACUGGCGGUUUAAAUCGACAAGCGAAUCAGUGAGCAAGAGGAGGACCGAAACCUGCAGCACAUUCUGGUGGUGCUUGGCACAGAUAACCAGACUUGCACCAGCAAGACGAGUCUGUCUACCACUCACUUCUGGCCACUGUUGGACCUCCUUCCAUGCAACUUGGUGGCAACCUACUUCCGUCCACUGAGAGACAACGUUGUCAGCGUCUACACCUCUGCCUAUACUGUAGGUAUUCGGACCACUUGAUCUCCCGAUGCCCCAAUCGUCCAACCAACUGCCGAUCUCAAGCACGUUUCUCUUCUGGUGCGACGUCACCGACAGCGGGCCAACUUUCUCUGCCAUCAGCUCCGGCAUCUUCAAGACAGCGGCUACAACUUCCAGCUCUGCCUUCCUGAGGCUCUCAAGAUCCAUCCAGUGUUCCGAGCCCUCCUGAAGUUCCUCUUCCUAGGCUGAUCGACUUUUACGGUCAAGGCAAUCUUGGACAUCAGGCUAAGGGGCAGAGGUUUCCAGUACCUGGUAGACUGGGAGGGGUACUGUCCUGAAGAUCGUUCUUGGGUGUCUCGCUCAUCCUUGACCCAUCAAUGCUCGCAGAGUUCUACAGGCAUCUCCCGGAAAAGCCAGGUUCUGUAUGGCCUGGUCAUGCUUGUUGCUGAGGACCAGCCAUCUUGAAGAUUCAUGAAACCACCUGAAUGAACAUUUCGAAACUUACUGAGUGAGAAUGUGUUGAGCCCCAGGCCCGACAGCGCCAUCCCGCAACCAAAGCGGCACAGACAGAAGAUGGGGAAGGAUGUGGAGAAAGCGGCGCACGUCCCAGACACCGCCAUCAGCAGGACAGAUAAGAACGGCCAUAAAGCGUGGUGUGUAGAGUUUAAAAGCUGCUUUUUGCAUGCCCAUCAUCGAAUCUAAUGUAUGUGCGGGAGCCAAAGUACGGCCCCAGCCUCCCAGAGAGCCCAACCCAAAACAGCAGGUGCGGCGCCCAGGGAUCAAGGGACCACUGGCUCCACGCAACCAGGCCGGCCAGAGACAGGAACCUGGGCAGGGCCAGCAGCAGGCUAUAGACAGACGCGCCCGACAGAGGACAAGGCACGGGAGACGCAGGGGACAGCCAGCGUCAGCGAGAGACCACACCCCAUGCGGGCAAAAAAGCGGGACGCCCGGCCCCGAGGGGCCCAGAGACUCCCCGCAACUGGACGUGAAGACCGCCCCCGACCCACCAGCAACCGGCAUAAACCCGGAAAAAGUGAACCACUGUGAAUACUUUCCGGAUGUACCGUAUUUGUAGCGUGAGCGUCUAGGCGGAUGCCUAGAGGGCGCUCGCAUUCAAAGAUACUGUGUGCAUUAUAUCCCGCCCUCUUCUCGGUACAAUCAUGUAAGCUACGCCUUACUAACAACACCAGUUGCACUAGAAGGAUGACGUUCUAGUACAACUGCAGUGUUUGGAAAAGUGUACAGAAAUAUAAAAAACUGAGCAUCAGUUUUUAAAUUUAGUCUAUGUGCAUGUGCACGCAACAGCCAUGAUUGACAGCCUUUUUAUGAUAUAAAAUAUAGACAUUUAUUAGUUCAUCAUUUUAUCGGACCAGACAAAGAUCCAAAUCUUAGCCAGUGGUGUGGCUUUUUUCAUGGCAUUGUUUGUGACAUUGACCUGGUUCACAGUAAAGGCCAUUAGUCCCUGAUGUGUUGAAGGUCUUGUUGGAGUUCACCAUAGUCUCACCGGCUCUGUUGUUUGUUAAAUCGAUUCUGUUAAACCACUAUUGGUAACAUAUGCUCACUGUUGGUAAUGUUUGUAUAUUUUUUUGGUUUAAAAAAUGUUUUAUUUGUCAUAAGCUGGAUGCUGCACUGGUAACUAAGGCAGUAGAACACUGAAAGUGAAUCAUUCAUUGCAUAUAAUUUUUACAUAAUUAUUUUAAAUAUAUACAAUAAUACAGUAUACAACAAACACAUACAAUAAUGUAAAUACUAGAUAGAAAAAAUAUAGUUAUUUAAAUAACCCUGAAAAUCUCAUUUUACUAUUAAUUACAGUUCAAAACUUCCCAUUGGUUAUCUUGCUACAGUCCUGGAAGUACCAUCUCAUAAGAUAAAAGAAUGAACUAGUACAAAGAUAACCCUUCCCUUCCUUAAACUGAUCAAAUCAGCCUAAUGUAGGGCAUUUGCAAACAAUCACAUAUUUGCACAGUACUGUUCUUUCAUCAGCGUCAGGAAUAGAUUGUUUUCACAGAUUGUCACCUGAACACACAUUUCCUAAGAUAGCUGUUGUCUGCAAAUGUCAGUUACAUGUAAACUAAAGCAAAUAAACAUAUAGAUUAUACAAAAUGUUAUCCGCUGUAGAUAAAUGACAACAUGCAUUAAAAGGCUAUGUACUGUAUUUAUAAAAUGUUUGAAUGUUUAUAAAAACAUUUUACAGGCGAUUAUUCAGAGUUGAAUCCAGGUAAAUGUCCUCUGCUCUCCAUCUGAUAGUACGCAUCCCUUGAAAGCAUAGGUGGAUUAAUGACCGGGCCUACCG
Molecule: long non-coding RNA, 3536 nt
Organism: Entelurus aequoreus (snake pipefish)
Lineage: Eukaryota; Metazoa; Chordata; Actinopteri; Syngnathiformes; Syngnathidae
Exons: 10
Source: RefSeq, a predicted model, not a curated record